Molecule: ribosomal RNA, 615 nt
Filed under: uncultured bacterium
Lineage: Bacteria
Description: bacterial SSU rRNA
Rfam family: Bacterial small subunit ribosomal RNA
Source: RNAcentral
AGUCGACGAUUAAAGCUCCCUUCGGGGAGUGCAUAAAGUGGCGCACGGGUGAGUAACACGUAAGUAAUCUACCUUCGAGUGGGGAAUAACCCGGGGAAACCCGAGCUAAUACCGCAUAAUGCAGCGGCACCUAAUGGUGACAGUUGUUAAAGGAGCAAUCCGCUUGAAGAGGAGCUUGCGGCAGAUUAGCUUGUUGGUAAGGUAACGGCUUACCAAGGCAACGAUCUGUAUCCGGUCUAAGAGGACGGUCGGACACACUGACACUGAAUAGCGGGUCAGACUCCUACGGGAGGCAGCAGUCGGGAAUUUUGGGCAAUGGGGGAAACCCUGACCCAGCAACGCCGCGUGAAGGAUGAAGUAUUUCGGUAUGUAAACUUCGAAAGAAUAGGAAGAAUUAAUGACGGUACUAUUUAUAAGGUCCGGCUAACUACGUGCCAGCAGCCGCGGUAAUACGUAGGGACCAAGCGUUGUUCGGAUUUACUGGGCGUAAAGGGCGCGUAGGCGGCGCGGUAAGUCACUUGUGAAAUCUCUGAGCUUAACUCAGAACGGCCAAGUGAUACUGCAGUGCUAGAGUGUGGAAGGGGCAAUCGGAAUUCUUGGUGUAGCGGUGAAAUG